This 399-nucleotide ribosomal RNA is filed under the name uncultured bacterium. Its description in RNAcentral is "bacterial SSU rRNA". It matches the Rfam family "Bacterial small subunit ribosomal RNA", at positions 362 to 777 of the family's 1533-position model. The record is from RNAcentral.
UAUUGGUUAAUGUGCGAAAGCGCGAACCAGCAACGCCGCGUGCACGAUGAAGGCCUUCGGGUUGUAAAGUGCUUUUUGAGGGGAUGAGGAAGGACAGUACCCUCAGAAUAAGUCUCGGCCAACUACGUGCCAGCAGCCGCGGUAACACGUAGGAGACGAGCGUUAUCCGGAUUUACUGGGCGUAAAGCGCGUGCAGGCGGUUCAGCAAGUUGGAUGUGAAAGCUCCCGGCUUAACUGGGAGAGGUCGUUCAAAACUACUGAACUUGAGAGUGGUAGAGGGAGGUGGAAUUCCGGGUGUAGUGGUGAAAUGCGUAGAUAUCCGGAGGAACACCAGUGGCGAAAGCGGCCUCCUGGACCAUUUCUGACGCUCAGACGCGAAAGCUAGGGUAGCGAACGGGA